UUAGGAAAUGUAGACUCGCUAAUAUCGGGUCUAUUUGACAAAGGCUCCAAAGGAAGCCACGGCUAACUCUGUGCCAGCAGCCGCGGUAAUACAGAGGUGGCAAGCGUUGUUCGGUAUUAUUGGGCGUAAAGAGCACGUAGGUGGAUUUGUAAGUCAGACGUGAAAGCCUUCUGUUCAACGGAAGUAUUGCAUCUGAAACUACAAACCUUGAGUGUA
Molecule: ribosomal RNA, 216 nt
Filed under: uncultured Planctomycetales bacterium
Lineage: Bacteria; Pseudomonadati; Planctomycetota; Planctomycetia; Planctomycetales
Description: partial 16S ribosomal RNA
Rfam family: Bacterial small subunit ribosomal RNA
Source: RNAcentral